RNAcentral lists this ribosomal RNA (253 nucleotides) under uncultured bacterium. Its description in RNAcentral is "partial 16S ribosomal RNA". It matches the Rfam family "Bacterial small subunit ribosomal RNA", at positions 524 to 776 of the family's 1533-position model. The record is from RNAcentral.
UACGAGGGGGGCAAGCGUUGUUCGGAAUUAUUGGGCGUAAAGGGCGCGUAGGCGGUGCGGUAAGUCACCUGUGAAAACUCUGGGCUCAACUCAGAGCCUGCAGGCGAAACUGCCGUGCUUGAGUGUGGGAGAGGUGCGUGGAAUUCCCGGUGUAGCGGUGGAAUGUGUAGAUAUCAGGAAGAACACCGGUGGCGAAGGCGGUUUGCUGGGCCAUCACUGACGCUGAGACACGAAAGCGUGGGGAGCAAACGGG